Molecule: ribosomal RNA, 2900 nt
Filed under: Klebsiella pneumoniae
Lineage: Bacteria; Pseudomonadati; Pseudomonadota; Gammaproteobacteria; Enterobacterales; Enterobacteriaceae
Description: 23S ribosomal RNA
Rfam family: Bacterial large subunit ribosomal RNA
Source: RNAcentral
GGUUAAGCGACUAAGCGUACACGGUGGAUGCCCUGGCAGUCAGAGGCGAUGAAGGACGUGCUAAUCUGCGAAAAGCGUCGGUAAGGUGAUAUGAACCGUUAUAGCCGGCGAUGUCCGAAUGGGGAAACCCAGUGUGAUUCGUCACACUAUCGUUAACUGAAUACAUAGGUUAACGAGGCGAACCGGGGGAACUGAAACAUCUAAGUACCCCGAGGAAAAGAAAUCAACCGAGAUUCCCCCAGUAGCGGCGAGCGAACGGGGAGCAGCCCAGAGUCUGAAUCAGCUUGUGUGUUAGUGGAACGGUCUGGAAAGUCCGACGGUACAGGGUGAUAGUCCCGUACACCAAAAUGCACAGGUUGUGAACUCGAAGAGUAGGGCGGGACACGUGGUAUCCUGUCUGAAUAUGGGGGGACCAUCCUCCAAGGCUAAAUACUCCUGACUGACCGAUAGUGAACCAGUACCGUGAGGGAAAGGCGAAAAGAACCCCGGCGAGGGGAGUGAAAAAGAACCUGAAACCGUGUACGUACAAGCAGUGGGAGCACCUUCGGGUGUGACUGCGUACCUUUUGUAUAAUGGGUCAGCGACUUAUAUUCUGUAGCAAGGUUAACCGUAUAGGGGAGCCGCAGGGAAACCGAGUCUUAACUGGGCGUUAAGUUGCAGGGUAUAGACCCGAAACCCGGUGAUCUAGCCAUGGGCAGGUUGAAGGUUGGGUAACACUAACUGGAGGACCGAACCGACUAAUGUUGAAAAAUUAGCGGAUGACUUGUGGCUGGGGGUGAAAGGCCAAUCAAACCGGGAGAUAGCUGGUUCUCCCCGAAAGCUAUUUAGGUAGCGCCUCGUGAACUCAUCUUCGGGGGUAGAGCACUGUUUCGGCUAGGGGGUCAUCCCGACUUACCAACCCGAUGCAAACUACGAAUACCGAAGAAUGUUAUCACGGGAGACACACGGCGGGUGCUAACGUCCGUCGUGAAGAGGGAAACAACCCAGACCGCCAGCUAAGGUCCCAAAGUCAUGGUUAAGUGGGAAACGAUGUGGGAAGGCACAGACAGCCAGGAUGUUGGCUUAGAAGCAGCCAUCAUUUAAAGAAAGCGUAAUAGCUCACUGGUCGAGUCGGCCUGCGCGGAAGAUGUAACGGGGCUAAACCAUGCACCGAAGCUGCGGCAGCGACACUAUGUGUUGUUGGGUAGGGGAGCGUUCUGUAAGCCUGCGAAGGUGACCUGUGAGGGUUGCUGGAGGUAUCAGAAGUGCGAAUGCUGACAUAAGUAACGAUAAAGCGGGUGAAAAGCCCGCUCGCCGGAAGACCAAGGGUUCCUGUCCAACGUUAAUCGGGGCAGGGUGAGUCGACCCCUAAGGCGAGGCCGAAAGGCGUAGUCGAUGGGAAACAGGUUAAUAUUCCUGUACUUGGUGUUACUGCGAAGGGGGACGGAGAAGGCUAUGUUAGCCGGGCGACGGUUGUCCCGGUUUAAGCAUGUAGGCUGGUUGUCCAGGCAAAUCCGGAUAAUCAAGGCUGAGGUGUGAUGACGAGGCACUACGGUGCUGAAGUAACAAAUGCCCUGCUUCCAGGAAAAGCCUCUAAGCAUCAGGUAACAUCAAAUCGUACCCCAAACCGACACAGGUGGUCAGGUAGAGAAUACCAAGGCGCUUGAGAGAACUCGGGUGAAGGAACUAGGCAAAAUGGUGCCGUAACUUCGGGAGAAGGCACGCUGGUGUGUAGGUGAAGUCCCUGCGGAUGGAGCUGAGACCAGUCGAAGAUACCAGCUGGCUGCAACUGUUUAUUAAAAACACAGCACUGUGCAAACACGAAAGUGGACGUAUACGGUGUGACGCCUGCCCGGUGCCGGAAGGUUAAUUGAUGGGGUUAUCCGUAAGGAGAAGCUCUUGAUCGAAGCCCCGGUAAACGGCGGCCGUAACUAUAACGGUCCUAAGGUAGCGAAAUUCCUUGUCGGGUAAGUUCCGACCUGCACGAAUGGCGUAAUGAUGGCCAGGCUGUCUCCACCCGAGACUCAGUGAAAUUGAACUCGCUGUGAAGAUGCAGUGUACCCGCGGCAAGACGGAAAGACCCCGUGAACCUUUACUAUAGCUUGACACUGAACAUUGAGCCUUGAUGUGUAGGAUAGGUGGGAGGCUUUGAAGCGUGGACGCCAGUCUGCGUGGAGCCAACCUUGAAAUACCACCCUUUAAUGUUUGAUGUUCUAACGUUGGCCCCUUACCGGGGUUGCGGACAGUGUCUGGUGGGUAGUUUGACUGGGGCGGUCUCCUCCCAAAGCGUAACGGAGGAGCACGAAGGUUAGCUAAUCCUGGUCGGACAUCAGGAGGUUAGUGCAAUGGCAUAAGCUAGCUUGACUGCGAGCGUGACGGCGCGAGCAGGUGCGAAAGCAGGUCAUAGUGAUCCGGUGGUUCUGAAUGGAAGGGCCAUCGCUCAACGGAUAAAAGGUACUCCGGGGAUAACAGGCUGAUACCGCCCAAGAGUUCAUAUCGACGGCGGUGUUUGGCACCUCGAUGUCGGCUCAUCACAUCCUGGGGCUGAAGUAGGUCCCAAGGGUAUGGCUGUUCGCCAUUUAAAGUGGUACGCGAGCUGGGUUUAGAACGUCGUGAGACAGUUCGGUCCCUAUCUGCCGUGGGCGCUGGAGAAUUGAGGGGGCUGCUCCUAGUACGAGAGGACCGGAGUGGACGCAUCACUGGUGUUCGGGUUGUCAUGCCAAUGGCACUGCCCGGUAGCUAAAUGCGGAAGAGAUAAGUGCUGAAAGCAUCUAAGCACGAAACUUGCCCCGAGAUGAGUUCUCCCUGAGACUUUAAGUCUCCUGAAGGAACGUUGAAGACGACGACGUUGAUAGGCCGGGUGUGUAAGCGCAGCGAUGCGUUGAGCUAACCGGUACUAAUGAACCGUGAGGCUUAACCUU